Molecule: ribosomal RNA, 465 nt
Filed under: uncultured bacterium
Lineage: Bacteria
Description: partial 16S ribosomal RNA
Rfam family: Bacterial small subunit ribosomal RNA
Source: RNAcentral
GACGAACGCUGGCGGCGUGCUUAACACAUGCAAGUCGAGCGAAGCGCCGCCUUCGGUGGGGUGUUCUAGCGGGGAACGGGUGAGUAACACGCGGGCGACCUGCCCUCAUCUCUGGGAUAACUCCGGGAGACCGGGGGUAACACCGGAUACGACCUCUACUGGCACCUGCGGAGGGGGAGAGUUUUUCGGCUGUGGAUGGGCUCGUGGCCUAUCAGCUAGUUGGUGGGGUAGUGGCUCACCAAGGCGACGACGGGUAGCCGGCCUGAGAGGGCGACCGGCCACACUGGGACUGAGACACGGCCCAGACUCCUACGGGAGGCAGCAGUGGGGAAUAUUGCGCAAUGGGCGGAAGCCUGACGCAGCGACGCCGCGUGAGGGACGAAGGCCUUCGGGUUGUAAACCUCUUUCAGCGGGGACGAAGCGAGAGUGACGGUACCUGCAAAAGAAGCACCGGCCAACUACGUG